Long non-coding RNA from Lycium ferocissimum, 515 nucleotides. RefSeq lists it as uncharacterized. The record is from RefSeq and is a predicted model, not a curated record. NCBI's taxonomy places the organism in Eukaryota, Viridiplantae, Streptophyta, Magnoliopsida, Solanales, Solanaceae. The transcript is spliced from 3 exons.
CUUCAAGGAGUUCUAGGUUUUGCACCGCUAGCCCAAGGGCUUCCUUUUUCUCCUCUCCUUGUCCCGUGAAAACACUCCAUAUUGAUGGCAGAAGCUGCAGAUGAAAGACAAGUAUCAAUGUAAUUCAUUCUUGAAAAAGAUCAAUGGUUUCUUACCUUCUCUUCCCCGAAUUUUGCCCAAAAACGUGCCAUGGCUUUCUCGUAAGGAUCCUGAGGUAGCAAAGGAGCUUCCUUCCAUGUCUCGUCGAUAUACUCAAGAAUAACCAGCGAUUCACAGAUUGGUUUGCCUUUGUGUACAAGCACAGGAAUCUUUUUGUGAAUAGGAUUAUACUGGAGGAGUUCAGGGCUCUUCUGGCUUAAAUCUUCAAAAAUGGCGUCAUAUUCAAUCCCUUUGAUAUGUAGCGCCCAAACGAUCCUCAAACCAAAUGGGCUUGACCAUGUCCUGUGAAGCUUUAGUUCUUCUGCCAUGUUGUUUUGCAAGUGAUAUUUCAUAUUUUAAAACCAACUCUGAUGUCA